UGGGGAAUAUUGGACAAUGGGCGAAAGCCUGAUCCAGCCAUGCCGCGUGAGUGACGAAGGCCUUAGGGUUGUAAAGCUCUUUCGGCGGGGACGAUAAUGACGGUACCCGGAGAAGAAGCUCCGGCUAACUUCGUGCCAGCAGCCGCGGUAAUACGAAGGGAGCUAGCGUUGUUCGGAAUUACUGGGCGUAAAGCGCACGUAGGCGGGCUAUUAAGUCAGGGGUGAAAUCCCGAGGCUCAACCUCGGAACUGCCUUUGAUACUGAUAGUCUUGAGAUCGGGAGAGGUGAGUGGAAUUCCUAGUGUAGAGGUGAAAUUCGUAGAUAUUAGGAAGAACACCAGUGGCGAAGGCGGCUCACUGGCCCGAUACUGACGCUGAGGUGCGAAAGCGUGGGGAGCAAACAGGAUUAGAUACCCCUGUAGUCCCUGAGCGGGCUGGCAAGGCGCAU
RNAcentral lists this ribosomal RNA (447 nucleotides) under uncultured bacterium. RNAcentral's name for it is "bacterial SSU rRNA". It matches the Rfam family "Bacterial small subunit ribosomal RNA", at positions 355 to 825 of the family's 1533-position model. The record is from RNAcentral.